RNAcentral lists this ribosomal RNA (253 nucleotides) under uncultured bacterium. RNAcentral describes it as "partial 16S ribosomal RNA". It matches the Rfam family "Bacterial small subunit ribosomal RNA", at positions 524 to 776 of the family's 1533-position model. The record is from RNAcentral.
UACGUAGGUGGCAAGCGUUGUCCGGAUUUAUUGGGUUUAAAGGGUGCGUAGGCGGUCGCGCAAGUCGGAUGUGAAAUCUCAGGGCUCAACCCUGAAACUGCAUUCGAUACUGCGUGGCUAGAGUGCUGGAGGGGAGACUGGAAUUUACGGUGUAGCAGUGAAAUGCGUAGAUAUCGUAAGGAAGACCAGUGGCGAAGGCGAGUCUCUGGUCAGCAACUGACGCUGAGGCACGAAGGCCAGGGGAGCAAACGGG